This 241-nucleotide unclassified non-coding RNA is filed under the name uncultured fungus. Its description in RNAcentral is "partial contains 5.8S ribosomal RNA, internal transcribed spacer 2, and large subunit ribosomal RNA". Lineage: Eukaryota; Fungi. The record is from RNAcentral.
AACGCACAUUGCGCCCUUUGGCAUUCCGAAGGGCAUGCCUGUUCGAGCGUCAUUACAACCACUCAAGCUCUCGCUUGGCCUUGGGGCACCCGGCGUCGGGGCCCUCAAAACCAGCGGCGGUGCUCGGCGGCUCUACGCGUAGUAAUACUCCUCGCGUCUGACCCCGGCGAGCCACCGGCCGGCAACCCCCCACACUUUACCGGUUGACCUCGGAUCAGGUAGGGAUACCCGCUGAACUUAA